Molecule: small nucleolar RNA, 107 nt
Filed under: Gossypium hirsutum (cotton)
Lineage: Eukaryota; Viridiplantae; Streptophyta; Magnoliopsida; Malvales; Malvaceae
Description: Plant small nucleolar RNA R71
Rfam family: Plant small nucleolar RNA R71
About the family: R71 is a member of the C/D box family of snoRNAs containing the C (UGAUGA) and D (CUGA) box motifs. Multiple nearly identical copies of this snoRNA have been identified in Arabidopsis, and it is thought to function as a 2'-O-ribose methylation guide for 18S ribosomal RNA.
Source: Rfam by way of RNAcentral
AGCCCAUGAUGAGGGCACCUUCUCAAUAGAUCCUUGUAUCUCUCCCAUGCAUCGUAAAGUGUUUCUAAAUCCAUCUGUACAAAAGAAGAAAUAUCAUUCCGUAAUUU